This 392-nucleotide ribosomal RNA is filed under the name uncultured bacterium. Its description in RNAcentral is "partial 16S ribosomal RNA". It matches the Rfam family "Bacterial small subunit ribosomal RNA", at positions 523 to 918 of the family's 1533-position model. The record is from RNAcentral.
AUACGUAUGUCGCAAGCGUUAUCCGGAUUUAUUGGGCGUAAAGCGCGUCUAGGCGGCUUAGUAAGUCUGAUGUGAAAAUGCGGGGCUCAACCCCGUAUUGCGUUGGAAACUGCUAAACUAGAGUACUGGAGAGGUAGGCGGAACUCCAAGGGUAGAGGUGAAAUUCGUAGAUAUUUGUAGGAAUGCCGAUGGGGAAGCCAGCCUACUGGACAGAUACUGACGCUAAAGCGCGAAAGCGUGGGUAGCAAACAGGAUUAGAUACCCUGGUAGUCCACGCCGUAAACGAUGAUUACUAGGUGUUGGGGGUCGAACCUCAGCGCCCAAGCUAACGCGAUAAGUAAUCCGCCUGGGGAGUACGUACGCAAGUAUGAAACUCAAAGGAAUUGACGGGG